CGCUGGCGGCGUGCCUAAUACAUGCAAGUCGAGCGAACUGACGAGAAAAGCUUGCUUUUCUCUGACGUUAGCGGCGGACGGGUGAGUAACACGUGGGCAACCUGCCCUAUAGACUGGGAUAACUCGCGGAAACGCGUGCUAAUACCGGAUAAUACGUAGAAAUGCAUGUUUCUAUGUUGAAAGAUGGUUCUGCUAUCACUAUAGGAUGGGCCCGCGGCGCAUUAGCUAGUUGGUAGGGUAACGGCCUACCAAGGCGACGAUGCGUAGCCGACCUGAGAGGGUGAUCGGCCACACUGGGACUGAGACACGGCCCAGACUCCUACGGGAGGCAGCAGUAGGGAAUCUUCCACAAUGGGCGAAAGCCUGAUGGAGCAACGCCGCGUGAGCGAAGAAGGUCUUCGGAUCGUAAAGCUCUGUUGUAAGGGAAGAACAAGUGCAGUAGUAACUGACUGCACCUUGACGGUACCUUAUUAGAAAGCCACGGCUAACUACGUG
RNAcentral lists this ribosomal RNA (495 nucleotides) under uncultured Ureibacillus sp. Its description in RNAcentral is "bacterial SSU rRNA". It matches the Rfam family "Bacterial small subunit ribosomal RNA", at positions 34 to 507 of the family's 1533-position model. The record is from RNAcentral. Lineage: Bacteria; Bacillati; Bacillota; Bacilli; Caryophanales; Caryophanaceae.